Molecule: ribosomal RNA, 253 nt
Filed under: uncultured bacterium
Lineage: Bacteria
Description: partial 16S ribosomal RNA
Rfam family: Bacterial small subunit ribosomal RNA
Source: RNAcentral
UACAGAGGGUGCGAGCGUUAAUCGGAAUUACUGGGCGUAAAGCGCGCGUAGGCGGCUUUGCAAGUCGGGUGUGAAAUCCCCAGGCUUAACCUGGGAACUGCAUUCGAGACUGCAUUGCUAGAGUAUGGGAGAGGGAAGUGGAAUUUCCGGUGUAGUGGUGAAAUGCGUAGAUAUCGGGAGGAACACCAGUGGCGAAGGCGACUACCUGGCCUGUUCUUGACGCUGAGGCGCGAAAGCUAGGGGAGCAAACGGG